RNAcentral lists this ribosomal RNA (495 nucleotides) under uncultured bacterium. RNAcentral describes it as "partial 16S ribosomal RNA". It matches the Rfam family "Bacterial small subunit ribosomal RNA", at positions 28 to 507 of the family's 1533-position model. The record is from RNAcentral.
GACGAACGCUGGCGGCGUGCCUAGUACAUGCAAGUAGAACGCUGAAGGAGGAGCUUGCUUCUCUGGAUGAGUUGCGAACGGGUGAGUAACGCGUAGGUAACCUGCCUGGUAGCGGGGGAUAACUAUUGGAAACGAUAGCUAAUACCGCAUAAUAGCAGUUGUUGCAUGACAACUGUUUGAAAGGUGCAAUUGCACCACUACCAGAUGGACCUGCGUUGUAUUAGCUAGUUGGUGGGGUAACGGCUCACCCAGGCGACGAUACAUAGCCGACCUGAGAGGGUGAUCGGCCACACUGGGACUGAGACACGGCCCAGACUCCUACGGGAGGCAGCAGUAGGGAAUCUUCGGCAAUGGACGGAAGUCUGACCGAGCAACGCCGCGUGAGUGAAGAAGGUUUUCGGAUCGUAAAGCUCUGUUGUAAGAGAAGAACGAGUGUGAGAGUGGAAAGUUCACACUGUGACGGUAUCUUACCAGAAAGGGACGGCUAACUACGUG